CACCUUGCAGCUUGAAUUGGGUAGAUCCUGGGAACUUUUUUCUGUUCGUGAUGUUCCAGAGAGCUGAUGCCAUGCAGGGAGAGCAAACUGAAGGGUCAAGAGGAUGUCAGACCUAGACCAUGCUUUGACUUCUGCAGUAGGUAUAUAGCUGGCUGAAGUUCAGUACCAUGUUUCCUGUAGGAUUUGUCUGGAAAAUGAUGGCCUUUACUGCUGGCACCAAUGCAUGAACGGAAGGUUUCUUAAAAGCUGCCUGGCACACCACCCUAAAUCUUAUAAGAUUACCAUGAAAUGGAGAGACUGCUUACCUGCAUUUUGCAACAGACUCCCUCGUACUGCAGUGCUGAAUACUGGCUGAUACCUCAGACAGUGUAAACAAAGGCAGGAGAAAACAAGCAUGCUUCCUCCCCUGAAGAGAGUAUAGGCAUGUGAUUGCUGCAGAAGUAACUGCCACAUCAAGGACAAAGAUGGUGAGCUUGGAACAUAAUGCUCUGCAGUUAUCAGUGCCCUGCCUGAAAAGCACAAGCUCCUACAGUAGAUGACAGAUUAACUGAUUGAGAAGAAAUGGUGUGCUGAGAUGUUACUGAGUAGAAGAGGUGCUGGAUGCAGCUGCUGGCACAAUGGCAGGCAGUGUGGUCCAGUUACCCUGUUUAUGAACUCCUUUUACCCAAAUCUUUAAGCACCACCAUCUGAAUGCCUUCAGCUUCCUUUUGGGCUCAAGCUCUAAUAGCAGCAUCAAACCUCACCCUUGCUGACUGUGGACCUUGAAAAAGAAAAGGAUGAUGUCUGAUGUUUUUUUCAGAUCUUUCUGAAGGAGAAAUACAGAUAAAAGCAAAGCUCUUUGUGACUGAUUUUUUCACUAUCUGCUUGAAAGGCGGUGGGUCAGAAUUAAGGCAUUUUUGCUGUGGAGGAAAUGUGUGGGCUGUUGGCUGCAAGCCAGUAGCCACUAACAUCCCUGCUGCACUAGGAACACUUGAAUGAAGUGGGCGUCAACCUCGGGAGAGCGGGCAGCACUACCUACCUCAGAGGAAAGUCUCCUCAUUGAGGUUCAAGGAGUAAAAAUAUUGAAUGGGGAUAAACUAGUCUGGUAGAUUUUUCUGAGGGGGACAGUGAAAAUGCAAAAAUCAUCAUCGAGUCCUCUAAGGUUCUGUGCCUGUCAGGUCCUAUUCAUUCUGCUGGAGAAGAAAUCCGUGCAGUCCUCGACUUCUCUCACAAUUUUAAAGUUUCUUCUUUUAAUUCUGUUUUCUCAACACAAAGAACAAUGAAAUAACACCCAGAAACUUUUAGUCAGUAGUUUGUGCUACAGCCACUCUUUUGGUACCCUUUUUCAAAUCCAGCGUAGAGAUCUGAAGUGCGUCAAAUGAUUCCUAGGAUAGAAUUUAUUAAGAUACUCAUCCUGUCUGUGUCCAGCUGAAUGGCCACUGGGAAAAAUAACAAUGAUUUCUAGAGUUCCUUUGUACCACUAAAUUCUGACUAUGAAGGACCAAACAGAAUACUCUCAGUGUCACCCUCCUCAUUUUUACCUGCCCUAGUUACAGAGUUAAGUCAUCUUACUGAGUCUGUCAUCAACUCUAGCCAGUAUAAAUAUGAGGAUGUAUUUCUUGAAUCAAGUCCACCAUCAAAACUUCAUACCUAUGAAAUAGAUUUUCUUUCCACCUCCAGCAAUGUUAUAUGCAAGCAAUACCUUUCUAUGUGUCUGAAACUACAGAUCUGUUCUCAGCAUGUGUAAGGGAAAGGAGCUUCCAUGCUUAUGUGUGGCGUCAUUGAAUUAUUACAUUCGUUUUUUCAAACAAGAAAAUGACAGUGAUGGAAAAAGGGAAUAAAGUGUUUUGUCUAAGUGUUGUUAGUGGACAAAUAUGGCUAUAUAAAGACAGAAUGGCCAGAAUAGAGCAUCACAAAUACUUUAAAAAGCUGCUCUUCUCUCAUGGGAAAUAAAGAGAACCUGGACAAGUGACGAAACAACUUUCAUGAAAAUCUUGAUGUUUACAUGGUAGCAAUUUAGGUUUGGUGUACCAUUGUGCAUGUCAGCUCAACAGUGGUCUAAUCUGAGUUUAGAGAAAGCUAGAGGCUAGAGAAUUCAAAAUGACAGCUGACAAAGAUGAGAAAAGUGAGUCUAAAAAGGAUUUGGUAAAACCAGGCCCAUGAUCUGCAGCAGGUCUACUAAAGCAAAUAAGGUAAUUAUAAUUACUUCGCUUUUAGACAACUUGCCUUUCAAAUUCUGGUUUUGGAAAUGACCUGUUACAAUAUCCUUGUGGACAAUUGGCUUGCAGUGUCCUAUCUCCUGGGCAAAAAGCUUGGGGAACUGAGGAAAUAGUAACUCAACGGCUGUAUAGUUCCUGUGGCUGAUAAAUUGGAAAUCACCAAACAAGCAACAGAGUAGGUCCAGGGAUAUUGGUGGGUAGUAUCUGAUAUGACUGAAUUCUGUAAUUUCAGAAAGAGAAAUGUACUUGCUAGAGUGAAAAAUAAUUGCUGGACUUCUAAUGGGUUGGAAAAGUGAAUUAGAGCUGCAGCUUGAAAAAAGAGGAUGAGGAACAUGAAGACAGCAGAGCCCAUUAAACAGUGGCUGGAGUGUGAAUUGCAAUUGCCGUGCUAAGUGUGGACGUCUAUGAGAAGACACAGAUGAAAGCCAAGGAGUGAGAUGAGGAGAAAGACCUAGAAGAAAGCUUAAUGGCAGCAACAUAGGACGGAGAGAAGGAAUAGUGCAGAGAAGGUUUGGAUGCACUACUGGAAGAUGCUUCAGCUAGAAAAAUGGUCUAAGGUGUAAAAUACUCAGGGAAGUGGAAGAAUGCAACUCUAAUGUCUUCUAAUAUGAAGAACCUUUUUUUUUCUCAGAUCCUUGGAGCAAGCAGCAAGUGAAAAAAUCCGCAAAAUAAAUGUUUGAAGUAACUACACUUUCUGCUCUGAGAGAAAAGUUUAAAAUGUCUAACUUAUUUUUAUGGAGAGAAAGAAAAUGUGCCAGAGGGCUGAGAGUUCUUAAGACCAAGUUAUAAACCUUUGAAAAUAGGAUUUUAUAAUGGAAAUGCAGAGAUGAUUAACUAUUGCAAGCACCUCUAAGAGUGACACCUCUAUAGUAAAUUACAUUCAAAUUAAUAUAAAACUGUAAAGAUUCCCUGACAGCUUUGAUUAUGUAAGUUGAUUUUAGUAGUUAAAUGUUGACUUUUUAUAAUGCAUUCUCUAAAUAUUAUACUGAAUGCUGCAUCAUAUAUAACAAUUACCAUGUCAGAGUGCUAUUUUGUGUAAAUUAAAUUAUU
Long non-coding RNA from Pogoniulus pusillus (Red-fronted tinkerbird), 3248 nucleotides. RefSeq lists it as uncharacterized. The transcript is spliced from 5 exons. The record is from RefSeq and is a predicted model, not a curated record. NCBI's taxonomy places the organism in Eukaryota, Metazoa, Chordata, Aves, Piciformes, Lybiidae.